AGAGUUUGAUCAUGGCUCAGGAUGAACGCUGGCGGUAUGCUUAACACAUGCAAGUCGAACGGAAUCCUUCGGGAUUUAGUGGCGGACGGGUGAGUAACGCGUGAGAAUCUGCCUUCAGGUUCGGGACAACCAUUGGAAACGGUGGCUAAUACCGGAUGCGCCCUAGGGUAAAAGGUUAACUGCCUGAAGAUGAGCUCGCGUCUGAUUAGCUAGUUGGUGGGGUAAGAGCUUACCAAGGCGACGAUCAGUAGCUGGUCUGAGAGGAUGAUCAGCCACACUGGGACUGAGACACGGCCCAGACUCCUACGGGAGGCAGCAGUGGGGAAUUUUCCGCAAUGGGCGAAAGCCUGACGGAGCAAUACCGCGUGAGGGAGGAAGGCUCUUGGGUUGUAAACCUCUUUUCUCAGGGAAGAACACAAUGACGGUACCUGAGGAAUCAGCAUCGGCUAACUCCGUGCCAGCCGCCGCGGUAAUUC
RNAcentral lists this ribosomal RNA (476 nucleotides) under uncultured bacterium. RNAcentral's name for it is "bacterial SSU rRNA". It matches the Rfam family "Bacterial small subunit ribosomal RNA", at positions 8 to 526 of the family's 1533-position model. The record is from RNAcentral.